AGAGUUUGAUCCUGGCUCAGGACGAACGCUGGCGGCGUGCUUACCAUGCAAGUCGAACGAUGAAGCCUUCGGGUGGAUUAGUGGCGAACGGGUGAGUAACACGUGGGAAAUCUGCCCUGCACUCUGGGACAAGCCUUGGAAACGAGGUCUAAUACCGGAUAUGACCUGUCCUCGCAUGGGGACGGGUGGAAAGCUCCGGCGGUGCAGGAUGAUCCCGCGGCCUAUCAGCUUGUUGGUGGGGUAAUGGCCUACCAAGGCGACGACGGGUAGCCGGCCUGAGAGGGCGACCGGCCACACUGGGACUGAGACACGGCCCAGACUCCUACGGGAGGCAGCAGUGGGGAAUAUUGCACAAUGGGCGAAAGCCUGAUGCAGCGACGCCGCGUGAGGGAUGAAGGCCUUCGGGUCGUAACCUCUUUCAGCAGGGAAGAAGCGCAAGUGACGGUACCUGCAGAAGAAGCACCGGCUAACUACGUGCCAGCAGCCGCGGUAAUACGUAGGGUGCGAGCGUUGUCCGGAAUUAUUGGGCGUAAAGAGCUCGUAGGCGGCUUGUCACGUCGGAUGUGAAAGCCCGGGGCUUAACCCCGGGUCUGCAUUCGAUACGGGCAGGCUAGAGUGUGGUAGGGGAGAUCGGAAUUCCUGGUGUAGCGGUGAAAUGCGCAGAUAUCAGGAGGAACACCGGUGGCGAAGGCGGAUCUCUGGGCCAUUACUGACGCUGAGGAGCGAAAGCGUGGGGAGCGAACAGGAUUAGAUACCCUGGUAGUCCACGCCGUAAACGGUGGGAACUAGGUGUUGGCGACAUUCCACGUCGUCGGUGCCGCAGCUAACGCAUUAAGUUCCCCGCCUGGGGAGUACGGCCGCAAGGUAAAACUCAAAGGAAUUGACGG
RNAcentral lists this ribosomal RNA (887 nucleotides) under Kitasatospora sp. H2BS23_907R. RNAcentral's name for it is "bacterial SSU rRNA". It matches the Rfam family "Bacterial small subunit ribosomal RNA", at positions 8 to 916 of the family's 1533-position model. Lineage: Bacteria; Bacillati; Actinomycetota; Actinomycetes; Kitasatosporales; Streptomycetaceae. The record is from RNAcentral.